GACGAACGCUGGCGGCGUGCUUAACACAUGCAAGUCGAACGAAGUGGCGAACGGGUGAGUAACGCGUAAUCAACCUGCCCUUCAGAGGGGGACAACAGUUGGAAACGACUGCUAAUACCGCAUACUGAAGGAGGGGAUUGCGUCUGAUUAGAUAGUUGGAGGGGGAACGGCCGACCAAGGCGAUGAUCAGUAGCCGGUCGGAAAGGGUGAACGGCCAAAUUGGGACAGAGACAAGGCCCAGACUCCUACGGGAGGCAGCAGGGGGGAAACUUCCGCAAUGGACGAAAGUCUGACGGAGCAACGGCGCGUUAAUGAUGACGGCCUUCGGGUUGUAAAGCUCUGUUAAUCGGGACGCGGUACCGGAAUAGAAAGCCACGGCUAACUACGUGCCAGCAGCCGCGGUAAUUC
This 408-nucleotide ribosomal RNA is filed under the name uncultured bacterium. RNAcentral's name for it is "partial 16S ribosomal RNA". It matches the Rfam family "Bacterial small subunit ribosomal RNA", at positions 28 to 526 of the family's 1533-position model. The record is from RNAcentral.